UACGUAGGGUGCGAGCGUUGUCCGGAAUUAUUGGGCGUAAAGGGCUCGUAGGCGGUUUGUCGCGUCGGGAGUGAAAUCCACUGGCUUAACUGGUGGCUUGCUUUCGAUACGGGCAGACUGGAGGUAUGCAGGGGAGAACGGAAUUCCUGGUGUAGCGGUGAAAUGCGCAGAUAUCAGGAGGAACACCAAUAGCGAAGGCAGCUCGCUGGGACGGUACUGACGCUAAGGCGCGAAAGCGUGGGGAGCGAACAGG
RNAcentral lists this ribosomal RNA (253 nucleotides) under uncultured bacterium. RNAcentral describes it as "partial 16S ribosomal RNA". It matches the Rfam family "Bacterial small subunit ribosomal RNA", at positions 524 to 776 of the family's 1533-position model. The record is from RNAcentral.